This 253-nucleotide ribosomal RNA is filed under the name uncultured bacterium. Its description in RNAcentral is "partial 16S ribosomal RNA". It matches the Rfam family "Bacterial small subunit ribosomal RNA", at positions 524 to 776 of the family's 1533-position model. The record is from RNAcentral.
UACGUAGGGGGCAAGCGUUGUCCGGAAUCAUUGGGCGUAAAGCGCGUGUAGGCGGUCCGGUAAGUCCGCUGUGAAAGUCGGGGGCUCAACCCUCGGAUGCCGGUGGAUACUGUCGGGCUUGAGUACGGAAGAGGCGAGUGGAAUUCCUGGUGUAGCGGUGAAAUGCGCAGAUAUCGGGAGGAACACCGGUGGCGAAGGCGGUUCUCUGGGCCUUACCUGACGCUGAGGAGCGAAAGCGUGGGGAGCAAACAGG